CCCACGGGGACCAGUACAGGAAAACAUUUUAUUAAAUGUAUGCAUUCACUACUAGAAUUUGGGAGUAUGUCCAACCGGCCUUACCUCAUGUAACUACGCCAGCCCAGGACCUCCACAUCUGGUUUCUUCAGCUGCAGGAUCAUCUGAGACUAGCCACUUGGACAGCUGAUGAAACUGAGGACUAUUUCUGUCUGUAAUAAAGCCCUUUUGUGGGCAAAAACUCAUUCUGAUUGGCUGGGCUCUCCAGUGGGUGGGCCUAUGCUCUCCCAGACCCACCCAUGGAUGUGCCCCUGCCCAGUCAUGUGAAAUCUAUAGACUAG
RNAcentral lists this long non-coding RNA (320 nucleotides) under Salmo salar (Atlantic salmon). Its description in RNAcentral is "lncRNA (ENSSSAG00000098235.1)". The record is from RNAcentral. Lineage: Eukaryota; Metazoa; Chordata; Actinopteri; Salmoniformes; Salmonidae.